AGGCAUUUAGUCUAAACAAGACCAUUGAUUUCGGCUCAAUAAAUCAUGCCAAACCCAUGAGUGCCUU
RNAcentral lists this transfer RNA (67 nucleotides) under Podocnemis expansa. RNAcentral describes it as "tRNA-Arg". The record is from RNAcentral. Lineage: Eukaryota; Metazoa; Chordata; Testudines; Podocnemididae.